Molecule: non-coding RNA, 1023 nt
Organism: Vicugna pacos (alpaca)
Lineage: Eukaryota; Metazoa; Chordata; Mammalia; Artiodactyla; Camelidae
Source: the annotation of a RefSeq genome assembly
UUUACUCUGACGGCGGCAGAUCUCCAAGAGGGCGGAGCCUGGCCACCUCUCCGGCCCAGAUGAGGCGGUGUCACCCACACUAGCUGAACUGAAGCCUGGCUGGAACCAUGCCCUGCUGUCUCCUUGCUCUUCUCCUGGGCACUUUCUUAGGUGUCAGAGCUCAGACCAUCCAUCAAAGUCCACCUACCGUGGUGCAGCCUAUGGGCAGCUCACUCUCCCUGGAGUGCACCGUGAAGGGGACAUCAAACCCCAGACUGUACUGGUACCGGCAGGCGGCAGGAGGGGCUCUCCAGCUGCUCUUCUACUCCUUUAGUGCUGACCGGGUAGAAUCUGAGGAGCCCCAGAACUUCGAAGCCUCCAUAUCCCAGGAUGGCCCGUUCAUCCUGAGUUCUAAGAAGCUCCUGCUCAAUAACUCUGGCUUCUACCUCUGCGCUUGGAGCCUCACACUGAGCCGGCUGGGGCAGACAUCUGUGCAAAAACCCCACCCUCUCCGGAGUCCUCGCUGCCCUCUCCAGGAGCCCUGGCUCAGGGGCUGGGUGAGGGAUGACUGUCAUCGGGUUUCUGACUGUCAGCCAAUGUGAGGGCAACUGAAUCAAGCCAGGGUCUCCAAAAGAACUUUACUAAGCUCUCAGGAAGAACAAAAAAGAUGUAUGCGUAGAAUCUGUAUUGCAUACACACAGUCAGGCUCCCAACGCGUGGAUGUCUAGUCCUAGGCUGUUGUACUUCAGCCCCCCAAGUGUGCUAUACCUGGUCUAACCCUUUCUCCCGCAUUCCUGUGGGUCUACACUGGGGAGUGAGGUUAUGCACAUGCUGGCGAGAAGGGCAGGGUGCCCCUGCAGGGGGAUGCGGUGGGGUGGUGGACUGGUGAGCAAAUAUGAGGACGCCAACCCGGGUUACUACAUUAGUUAAUAUUGAUCACCUGGAAAGUCUCCUGUCAUUGAUCUUUCUGCAGAAACUAGACAUCUCGUGGAGGUUUGGAUGAGGCUUUGAGCUAGGGAAGGGGCAAAGUGGGCUGUUCUCGUA